Molecule: long non-coding RNA, 564 nt
Organism: Chinchilla lanigera (long-tailed chinchilla)
Lineage: Eukaryota; Metazoa; Chordata; Mammalia; Rodentia; Chinchillidae
Exons: 3
Source: RefSeq, a predicted model, not a curated record
AGGCAAUCCUCCUGCCUCAGCCUCUCGAGUGCUGGGAUCACAGCUCAGGACUUGAACGUGUCUUUUGGAGGGACACAAUUCACGGCUGAACAGGGAGCCACUACUGAACAGGAACUUGGUGACAGGACCAUGGACCAUCGGAGUCACUUCAGGCGUCCCCCGUGAGUUUGGGUUCAGGGGCUGAAGGUUCAGGCCUGGAGCACGUGGCCUGAGGUCCCACGGGCAAUGUCUGCGUCUCUUUGGAAGCCAUCGGCUGAGAUCCUAACUCUUUCUUCCUCCCCCUUUCUGGCUGAGUCAGGGUGUCUCUGCAUCUAGUCCAGGCCACCCAUCUGCGCCGCCACACCCAGCUUGGUGACAUCCUAACCCUCUUUUAGUUUUUUUCCAGUACCAGGAAUCGAACUCACAACCUUGCACUUGCCAGGCAGGCGCUUUGCUGCUGAGCUUAAUUCCCAGCCCGGCAUCCUAACUCUCAAUUGGGCAAUGCACGGGUGUUGUGUUGGGAUUACAAGUGCUUCAUUAUGUUAGGUUCUAUUUUUUAUUUAUGUAUUUAUUUAUUUAUUCCGG